AGCGAACGUUAGCGGCGGGCCUAACACAUGCAAGUCGAACGCGAAAGGUCUUCGGACUGAGUAGAGUGGCGCACGGGUGAGUAACACGUAGGUAAUCUACCCUUUGGCGGGGGAUAACGUUCCGAAAGGAGCGCUAAUACCGCAUAAGACCACGGCGUCCUCGGAUGUCGCGGCCAAAGCGGGCCUCUUCAUGAAAGCUCGUGCUCGGGGAUGAGCCCGCGGCCCAUCAGCUUGUUGGCGAGGUAAAAGCUCACCAAGGCAAAGACGGGUAGCUGGUCUGAGAGGAUGAACAGCCACACUGGAACUGAGACACGGUCCAGACUCCUACGGGAGGCAGCAGUGGGGAAUCUUGCGCAAUGGGCGAAAGCCUGACGCAGCGACGCCGCGUGAGCGAUGAAGGCCCUCAGGUCGUAAAGCUCUGUGGGGAGGAAAGAAUAAGGGUAGGUUAAUAUCCUGCCUGAUGACGGUACCUCCUUAGCAAGCACCGGCUAACU
This 494-nucleotide ribosomal RNA is filed under the name uncultured bacterium. Its description in RNAcentral is "bacterial SSU rRNA". It matches the Rfam family "Bacterial small subunit ribosomal RNA", at positions 29 to 502 of the family's 1533-position model. The record is from RNAcentral.